This 403-nucleotide ribosomal RNA is filed under the name uncultured bacterium. Its description in RNAcentral is "partial 16S ribosomal RNA". It matches the Rfam family "Bacterial small subunit ribosomal RNA", at positions 30 to 526 of the family's 1533-position model. The record is from RNAcentral.
AUUGAACGCUGGCGGCAGGCCUAACACAUGCAAGUCGAGCGAGCGGCGGACGGGUGAGUAAUGUAUGGGGACUGCCCGAUAGAGGGGGAUAACUACUGGAAACGGUGGCUAAUACCGCAUACUAUCGGUAAACCCAUAGGGCAUUAGGUAGUAGGUGGGGUAAAGGCUCACCUAGGCGACGAUCUCUAGCUGGUCUGAGAGGAUGAGAUGACACACUGGGACUGAGACACGGCCCAGACUCCUACGGAGGCAGCAGGGGGGAAUAUUUCAAAUGGGGCGCAAGCCUGAUGCAGCCAUGCCGCGUGUAUGAAGAAGGCCUUAGGGUUGUAAAGUACUUUCAGCGGGGAGGCGUUACCCGAAUAAGAAGCACCGGCUAACUCCGUGCCAGCAGCCGCGGUAAUAC